GAAUCCCGUCUUUGGCAUGGACACACCAGGGCUUCUGUGAUGCGCUCUCGAAGAGUCGAGUUGUUUGGGAAUGCAGCUCAAAAUGGGUGGUGAACUCCAUCUAAAGCUAAAUAUUGGCGAGAGACCGAUAGCGAACAAGUACCGUGAGGGAAAGAUGAAAAGCACUUUGGAAAGAGAGUGAAACAGUACGUGAAAUUGUUGAAAGGGAAACGCUUGAAGUCAGUCGCGUCGGCCGAGACUCAGCCUUGCCUCGGCUUGGUGUAUUUCUUGGCCGACGGGUCAGCAUCAAUUUCGCCCCUUGGAUAAUGAUGAGGGAAAUGUGACACCUUUACAGGUGUGUUAUAGUCUCUUGUCGCAUGCAAGGGUCGGGAUUGAGGAACUCAGCAUGCACCUUCGGGUGUCGGGACUUUUGUCCACGAUGCAUGCUUAGGAUGUUGGCGUAAUGGCUUUAAACGACCCGUCUUGAAACACGGACCAAGGAGUCUAACAUGCCCGCGAGUGUUUGGGUGGAAAACCCAUUCGCGAAAUGAAAGUGAAAGUUGGGACCUCUGUCGUGGAGGGCACCGACACCCGGACCAGACCUUCUGUGACGGAUCUGCGGUAGAGCGUGUAUGUUAGGACCCGAAAGAUGGUGAACUAUGCCUGAAUAGGGUGAAGCCAGAGGAAACUCUGGUGGAGGCUCGUAGCGAUUCUGACGUGCAAAUCGAUCGUCAAAUUUGGGUAUAGGGGCGAAAGACUAAUCGAACCAUCUAGUAGCUGGUUCCUGCC
RNAcentral lists this ribosomal RNA (768 nucleotides) under uncultured Russula. Its description in RNAcentral is "partial 28S ribosomal RNA". It matches the Rfam family "Eukaryotic large subunit ribosomal RNA", at positions 216 to 962 of the family's 3401-position model. Lineage: Eukaryota; Fungi; Basidiomycota; Agaricomycetes; Russulales; Russulaceae. The record is from RNAcentral.